CUAUCAGCCACGGCUCUUAGCUGGCCAGUGGGACGCAACCCUGCCCCCGCCUCCCCUUCUCGGCCAUCGCGAGUGUGGGAGCCACUGGCAAGUCUCUCCAG
Molecule: non-coding RNA, 101 nt
Organism: Pteropus vampyrus (large flying fox)
Lineage: Eukaryota; Metazoa; Chordata; Mammalia; Chiroptera; Pteropodidae
Source: Rfam